AGUGAACGCUGGCGGUAGGCCUAACACAUGCAAGUCGAACGGCAGCACAGUAAGAGCUUGCUCUUACGGGUGGCGAGUGGCGGACGGGUGAGGAAUACAUCGGAAUCUACUUUUUCGUGGGGGAUAACGUAGGGAAACUUAAGCUAAGACCGCAUACGACCUACGGGUGAAAGCAUGGGAUCUUCGGACCUGGCGCGGUUGAAUGAGCCGCUGUCGGAUUAGCUAGUUGGCGGGGUAAAGGCCCACCAAGGCGACGAUCCGUAGCUGGUCUGAGAGGAUGGUCGGCCACCUGAGAACUGGGCCACGGUCAAGACGACUGAGAGAGGCAGCAGUGGGGAAUAUGGGACAGUGGGCGCAAGCAUGGUCCAGCGAUCGCGAGUGGGUGAAGAAGACGUUGGGGUCGUAAAGACGUUUUGUUGGGUAAGAAAAGCAGCAGGUUGAUACGCCGCUGUUCUGACGGUACCGAAAGAAUAAGCACCGGCUAACUUCGCG
Molecule: ribosomal RNA, 492 nt
Filed under: uncultured bacterium
Lineage: Bacteria
Description: partial 16S ribosomal RNA
Rfam family: Bacterial small subunit ribosomal RNA
Source: RNAcentral